AACGAACGCUGGCGGCAUGCCUAACACAUGCCAGUCGAACGAGACCUUCGGGUCUAGUGGCGCACGGGUGCGUAACGCGUGGGAACCUGCUCUUAGGUUCGGAAUAACUCCCCGAAAGGGGUGCUAAUACCGGAUAAUGUCUUCGGACCAAAGAUUUAUCGCCUUUGGAUGGGCCCGCGUUGGAUUAGCUAGUUGGUAGGGUAAAAGCCUACCAAGGCGACGAUCCAUAGCUGGUCUGAGAGGAUGAUCAGCCACACUGGGACUGAGACACGGCCCAGACUCCUACGGGAGGCAGCAGUGGGGAAUAUUGGACAAUGGGCGAAAGCCUGAUCCAGCAAUGCCGCGUGAGUGAUGAAGGCCUUAGGGUUGUAAAGCUCUUUUACCCGGGAUGAUAAUGACAGUACCGGGAGAAUAAGCGCCGGCUAACUCCGUG
This 433-nucleotide ribosomal RNA is filed under the name uncultured bacterium. RNAcentral describes it as "partial 16S ribosomal RNA". It matches the Rfam family "Bacterial small subunit ribosomal RNA", at positions 29 to 507 of the family's 1533-position model. The record is from RNAcentral.